AGUGAACGCUGGCGGUAGGCCUAACACAUGCAAGUCGAACGGCAGCACAGAGGAGCUUGCUCCUUGGGUGGCGAGUGGCGGACGGGUGAGGAAUACAUCGGAAUCUACUCUGUCGUGGGGGAUAACGUAGGGAAACUUACGCUAAUACCGCAUACGACCUACGGGUGAAAGCAGGGGAUCUUCGGACCUUGCGCGAUUGAAUGAGCCGGUGUCGGAUUAGCUAGUUGGCGGGGUAAAGGCCCACCAAGGCGACGAUCCGUAGCUGGUCUGAGAGGAUGAUCAGCCACGCUGGAACUGAGAAACGGUCCAGACUCCUACGGGAGGCAGCAGUGGGGAAUAGUGGACAAUGGGCGCAAGCCUGAGCCAGCCAUACCGCGUGGGUGAAGAAGGCCUUCGGGUUGUAAAGCCCUUUUGUUGGGAAAGAAAUCCAUCUGGUUAAUACCCGGAUGGGAUGACGGUACCCAAAGAGUAAGCACCGGCUAACUUCGUGCCAGCCGCCGCCGUAA
This 506-nucleotide ribosomal RNA is filed under the name uncultured bacterium. Its description in RNAcentral is "partial 16S ribosomal RNA". It matches the Rfam family "Bacterial small subunit ribosomal RNA", at positions 29 to 523 of the family's 1533-position model. The record is from RNAcentral.